This 253-nucleotide ribosomal RNA is filed under the name uncultured bacterium. Its description in RNAcentral is "partial 16S ribosomal RNA". It matches the Rfam family "Bacterial small subunit ribosomal RNA", at positions 524 to 776 of the family's 1533-position model. The record is from RNAcentral.
UACGGAGGAUCCAAGCGUUAUCCGGAAUCAUUGGGUUUAAAGGGUCCGUAGGCGGUUUGGUAAGUCAGUGGUGAAAGCCCAUCGCUCAACGGUGGAACGGCCAUUGAUACUGCCAGACUUGAAUUAUUAGGAAGUAACUAGAGUAUGUAGUGUAGCGGUGAAAUGCUUAGAGAUUACAUGGAAUACCAAUUGCGAAGGCAGGUUACUACUAGUGGAUUGACGCUGAUGGACGAAAGCGUGGGUAGCGAACAGG